RNAcentral lists this ribosomal RNA (393 nucleotides) under uncultured bacterium. RNAcentral's name for it is "partial 16S ribosomal RNA". It matches the Rfam family "Bacterial small subunit ribosomal RNA", at positions 523 to 918 of the family's 1533-position model. The record is from RNAcentral.
AUACGGAGGAUGCAAGCGUUUUCCGGAUUUAUUGGGUUUAAAGGGUGCGUAGGCGGUUUGCUAAGCGGGAGGUGAAAUGCCGGCGCUCAACGUCGGAAGUGCCUCCCGAACUGGUGGACUUGAAUGACUCUGCCGUGGGAGGAAUGUGUAGUGUAGCGGUGAAAUGCUUAGAGAUUACGCAGAACACCGAUUGCGAAGGCAUCUCACGAAGGGUUGAUUGACGCUGAGGCACGUAAGCGUGGGGAUCAAACAGGAUUAGAUACCCUGGUAGUCCACGCAGUAAACGAUGAUGGCUAACCGCUGGGCUUAUCAGUUCAGUGGCCAAGCGAAAGCGAUAAGCCAUCCACCUGGGGAGUACGACCGCAAGGUUGGAACUCAAAGGAAUUGACGGGG